CAUGCAAGUCGAGCGAGAACCGGGGCUUCUCGCCCCGGGGACAGCGGCUAAGGGGUGAGUAACACGUGGGUAUAUCUGCCCUUGACAUCGGGUAUAGUCCCGGGGAAACCCGGAUUAAUACCGAAUAGCCUCCGGAGCCUUCGGGCGCCGGACAUAAAGGUAGCUUCCCGCCUCUGGAUCAAGGAUGAGCCCGCGGCGGAUUAGCUUGUUGGCGGGGUAACGGCCCACCAAGGUGACGAUCCGUAGCUGGUCUGAGAGGACGAUCAGCCACACUGGGACUGAGACACGGCCCAGACUCCUACGGGAGGCAGCAGUGGGGAAUCUUGCGCAAAUGCGGGAAACCGUGACACACCGACCCCGCGUGGGGGAAGAAGGCAUUCGGGUUGUAAACCUCUUUCAUGAGGGACCAACCUACUCUGGUGAAUAGCCCAGAGGGUGACGGUACCUUCAGAAGAAGCCCCGGCUAAAUAUGUGCCAGCAACCGCGGUGAUACGUAGGGUGCAAGCGUUGUCCGGAUUUAUUGGGCGUAAAGAGCGUGUAGGCGGCUUGGUAGGUCUGCUGUGAAAACUCGAGGAUCAACCUCGAGCUGUCGGCGGAAACCACUUGGCUAGAGUCCGGAAGAGGAGAAUGGAAUUCCUGGUGUAGCGGUGAAAUGCGCAGAUAUCUGGAAGAACACCUAUGGCGAAGGCAGCUCUUUGGGACGGUACUGACGCUGAGACGCGAAAGCGUGGGGAGCGAACACGAUUAGAUACCCCGGUAGUCCACGCUGUAAACGAUGGGUGCUAGGUGUGGGCGGCGUUGACUCCGUCCGUGCCGCAGCUAACGCAUUAAGCACCCCGCCUGGG
This 845-nucleotide ribosomal RNA is filed under the name uncultured bacterium. Its description in RNAcentral is "bacterial SSU rRNA". It matches the Rfam family "Bacterial small subunit ribosomal RNA", at positions 54 to 877 of the family's 1533-position model. The record is from RNAcentral.